GACGAACGCUGGCGGCGUGCUUAACACAUGCAAGUCGAACGAAAAGAGGGAAGGAGCUUGCUCUUUCCGGAAUUGAGUGGCAAACGGGUGAGUAACACGUAAACAACCUGCCUUCAGGAUGGGGACAACAGACGGAAACGACUGCUAAUACCGAAUAAGUUCCAAGGGCCGCAUGGCCCAUGGAAGAAAAGGUGGCCUCUACCUGUAAGCUAUCGCCUGAAGAGGGGUUUGCGUCUGAUUAGCUGGUUGGAGGGGUAACGGCCCACCAAGGCGACGAUCAGUAGCCGGUCUGAGAGGAUGAACGGCCACACUGGAACUGAGACACGGUCCAGACUCCUACGGGAGGCAGCAGUGGGGAAUCUUCCGCAAUGGGCGAAAGCCUGACGGAGCAACGCCGCGUGAGUGAUGACGGCCUUCGGGUUGUAAAACUCUGUGAUCCGGGACGAAAAGGCAGAGUGCGAAGAACAAACUGCAUUGACGGUACCGGAAAAGCAAGCCACGGCUAACUACGUG
This 513-nucleotide ribosomal RNA is filed under the name uncultured bacterium. RNAcentral describes it as "partial 16S ribosomal RNA". It matches the Rfam family "Bacterial small subunit ribosomal RNA", at positions 28 to 507 of the family's 1533-position model. The record is from RNAcentral.